Molecule: unclassified non-coding RNA, 273 nt
Filed under: Chorda filum
Lineage: Eukaryota; Phaeophyceae; Laminariales; Chordaceae
Description: ITS2
Source: RNAcentral
GACACCACUCGGCCGCCCCUCCCCCUCACGGUCCUUCUUUGGCGGGGAGGGGGGUUCCGCGCGGACUCUGCGUGUUCCGGAUGUGCAAACGUCCGAGUGCACCGAACUUCGUGAACGAAACUUCUACUGCCUUGCUGCACAGAGUUGUUGACGGCGUCCGCUUCGGCGGCGACUCUCGACUCGUUUAUUGCCCCAGGUAUAUGGGUAGGGGUGAUUCGGUUGCGCCCCCGCCCUUCCCCCAUCACCGGGGGUGGGGCCCCCCAUCUACUUUCG